ACAGCUCCUGGAGAACAGAACAUUCUUCAGGGGAGGGCUGUUGGGUUUGCAGACAUAUUAGGAGGCACAGAAGAUGAAAGAGGUUUCAAGUUGAAAUGUCAUGUAGGGAAAAGGGUGGGAGGUGACAACAGAAGAAAGAAUCCGAUGUGUAUUGAAUGCCUAUCACGUACCAGUCACUGGGCUGGAACCAUCCAAACUGAUGACAGUGCAGACGUUUCUGAUGCAGAGAAAGCAGCCUGGCUUCAGCACAUGACCAGCAUUCUCAUUUCCCACCAGCGAAUGGAUCUUGGCUCCGCAGCUACAUUCUGAUCAGGAUGAAUGACAUGUAUAAUUCAAAAAUCAAGAAAACUGCUCAAGUACAACGGGUGAGGCUUCUGCCAAAGUUGAAAAUUAUUAGGAACUGUGAUUUUGGCUGAGCACACAGCUCUGUUUUGAACUCUUUUAUUUCUGUGUUACUGCUCAUUCACUUAAAGAGAAACAUGAGUCAGAGACAAGAUCUCUUUCCCUUUUCAUGUUUCACCAAUUUAUCUUCCUUGGCAUAAUAAAUUUCGCAAGCCAAAGAGUUGAGAGUGUUGUCUCGUUCUCCUCUGUUUUUCCCAUUAUCUCAGUUAUCUCUCAUUUAUUUUUUAGUCUUUGCGCUUAUCGUACAAUUCUCGGGCCAUCAUAAAGUUGGAAUGAGUAACCUCCCACCCUUUGUGAUUGCUUGCGAGUGUUUCAGACCCCAUCCUCUCAAUCACGUGGCUCUGGUGCUUCAGCAUAUUUGAGAAAACCCAGAAAUAUAAGCUACACCUCAACCAGAGCUGACUGCACUACUGCAGGGGACUUUUGACAUAUAAAAAUCUCUCUGUGCAUGAGGUGUUCUAUGCUAAGCAAAUGUUAAGUAAAAUCUGCAUAUGUACUGUUGCUUCUCUGGGCAACAGGAAGACUCCAACCAAUCACAGUCUCAGUUUGAUGCACUGUAAACAGCACUGGACAAGAAGUCUUAGGUCUCGAACUUUAUUUUUUAAAGGCCAAUUUUAGAAAUGUAUUUCAGGCAAGAAUCUCAAGAAAUUCGUAUUUAUAAUUACAGAUUAUAGUAUCGUGAGCCUUCAGGUAUCCAUGAAUCAAUACCCAUCUAACCUUGUAUCUGUGGUGUCCAUCCAUAUCCUCUCCUCUCCCCCCAAGGAGAUAGCUUUUGGUAUAACCACUGACAUCAGGUAAUUUCUGCCUAACAUACUCACAGGUAUUUCUAAGAGAGAAGGGCUUCGGUACUUAAAAAAUAUAAUCACACGGCAUUAUCAUGUCUAAAAUACUUGAACUUCCUGACCUUAAAUAUUCAGCCAGUGUUCACAUUUCCCUGUUCAUCCCAUAACAUAUUUUUAAACAUUAUUAGAGAUUUUAGUCUUUGUGAAAAUAUUUAAAACCCAGAAAGUAUACAAGAUAGAGUGAUAUACAUGAAUACACCACCCUAACAUUUUUUAAUGCUUGCCUCAGAUUUCUCUCUCUCUCUCUCUCUCUAAGAUUUUACUUCCUAAGGCAGCUUCAGGUUCACAGCGAAAUCAUGAGGAGCAGAUAUUUUGUAUAUGCUCGUGCCCUCAAGAACAGCCUCUCCCGUUAUCAGUGUAGCCCACCAAAGUGGUAUACUUGUUACAGUUGAUGAGCAUACACCGAAACAUUGUCAUCUAAUAUCCUUGGUUUACAUUAGGAAUCACUUUUAGUGUUGUCCAUUCUGUGGCUUUGGACACAUGUAUGACAUGCAUCAGUCAUUACGCUAUUAUAUUUACUCCUCUAAAAAUCCUUUGUGCUCUGACUAUUCAUCUCUUCUUUUCCCUUUGCCCUUGGCAACCACUUAACUUCUGACUAUCUAGUUUUGGUUUUCCCAGAAUGGGAUAUUGUUGGAAUCAGACAAUGUGCAAUCUUCUGAAACUAGUUUCUUUCACUUGGCAGUCUGCAUUUACAUCUCCUCCACAUCUUUUCAUGGUUUGACAUUUCACUUCUCAGUACUGCUAAAUAACAUCCUUUGUCAGAAUGUACCACAAUAUAUUUAUCCACUCCCCUACUGAAGGACAUCUUGGUUUCUUCUUGGUUUGGGUAAUUAUGAGUAAAAUUGCUAUAAGCAUCCAUGGACAGGUUUCCAUGUAGACUUAGUAUUUAAGUUAUUUUGAUCACUACCAAGAAAUGCUAAUUCUUCACUGUAUGGUAAGAGUCAUGUUUCCUGUCCUAAGAAACCAUCAAACUGUCUUCCAUAGCGGCUGUAAUAUUUUUUAUUGCCACCAACAGUGAAUAAGAGCUCCUACUGCUCCACAUCUUCACUGGCAUUUAGUGUGGUCAGUGCUCUGAAUUUUGGUGAUUCUAAUAGUUAUGUAGUGAUAUCUUUGUGUUUUAAUUUACAUUUCCCUGAUAACAUAAGAUAGGAAACUGAUGAAGAUUUUUUAACUUGAUUUUUACAAAAUAGGACCCAAACAUAGCCAAAAUACCAAAUCUCA
Chinchilla lanigera (long-tailed chinchilla) is the source of this 2465-nucleotide long non-coding RNA. Lineage: Eukaryota; Metazoa; Chordata; Mammalia; Rodentia; Chinchillidae. The record is from Ensembl.